AGCGACCCCAGGUCAGGCAAGACUACCCGCUGAGUUUAA
RNAcentral lists this ribosomal RNA (39 nucleotides) under Garcinia fruticosa. RNAcentral's name for it is "partial 28S ribosomal RNA". Lineage: Eukaryota; Viridiplantae; Streptophyta; Magnoliopsida; Malpighiales; Clusiaceae. The record is from RNAcentral.